CCUCCUGCCUCCGCGGUACCGCGCCCCUCGGGCCCACGGCCCAGCCGUGGGACCCAAUCCUGGACCCUCGUUGCCAGCUCCAGCCUGCUCUCAGCGGCUGUCCCCAUCUCGGGACUUCCCCGUGCACCUUGGGCAGGCUUCACCUGCCCCUAAAUUGGACUCCGACACUGUCACCAACUUUCUCUCUGUAGAGCUCUGCGUGUGCCCUCGCCUCCCCCUGCCCUAACUCUCACUCUUUGUACUACUACCUGGAAUUUUCGCUGUCUCUUUCCUCCGACCACUGGCACCAACUCUGUCCUUGUCUCUCUUCUCCUGCUUCCGGCGGCUAAGUGUCAGUUCCAGCUCUCCCUCUGCCUGUGCAGAGACAACCUCGAUGCCCGACUUGUUGGCCAGGCCCUCUCUGGCCCAAUUCCUCCCUCUCUCAUUGCUCUCCCCAUACCUCUAGCGCUUUCCACUUGGGUCUCUUUCCCGAAGACUGUUUCUUUCACUGCCUUGGCUCUCCUGCCUUGGCCAUGCUCCAUCCGGGCAUGGUUGAUUCUAGGGUUAAGGGCUGCCCCUCCUUUCUUAACCCUGACAGACAGACCCAGGUUUCCUUGUUCUUCAAAGAAGCACUGCCCAUCCUGGGUUGAGGACUACAAAGGUCACCAGUGCAUUUUGGGUAGACAGGAGCCUCUUGUAUUCUGGAAAUGUCUACAGGUAAUGGGAAUUUUUAUUCUGUAGGAGCUGAGCCUUUCCUCACUGGCCUGUCCCAAUGGGCCUUCAGCCUCUUAUCCAACCUCAUAUUUCACAAGCUGGGGACCACAGACCCAGACAUGGAAGAGACCUUAGAGGCCAUCUAGACCAUCUAGACCAUCUAGACCCAACUCUAUCAUCUUACAUGUGAAGAAACCAAAGCUCAGGGGAGUGCAGUGAUGGCCAAAGCCUUCUUGAAUAAUUCAGUGAUUCUGAUCAUUGCUCAUUCAGAAAUCAUUCAGUGAUUUUUGUUCAUUUGUCUAAUGCAGAUAGAAAUGGAUCUUUGACCCACAAAAUUCAUCCCCUGCAGUCAACAUGUUGAUGAGAUUCUCCAAAUUUAACAAAGCUUCUUCUCAAAUAGUAGUCCAUCUCUAGGCCUGUGCACAAAGCAAUUCAACUCCUCAACAAACCUGUUUUCCUGAACUUCCAUUCAGCCAACUCAGCCCUCAAGUAUCUAGCAUCACCUCCUUGUCUCCAUAAGGUAGCAAAGUUUGACUUUAGUGCCUAGUAUAAGUAAGGUUUCACUAAAAGGGCCAGGUCUUCUGGCUCCAAACAAAAUUCUUUUUUGCAUGGCACCACGCUAGCCAUGGUGGGUCCUGGUCCUAGUAUUCCCCCUUCCUUCUCUAUUUCAAUAGUCUCUCCCUCACUUUCCCCCCAACUACAUAUUCUGACUCCUUGUAAAAUAAAAGCCAUCUUUGGCUCCCCACUCAGUCCCAGAGUCUGUAGGAUAUUCCCAAGCUACAGGGUUGGUGUUGGGAAGGCCCUCUGAGAGCCCUAUACUCUAUCCUCUGAGGAGUGGGAGAGAAAAACUACACCAUUGUUUUAGGAAAGCCAAGUUACUUGGGUUGGCAAUUGCUAAGUGGGGGUGGGGCAUUCACCUUAGUAGAGAAAAGGUGCUCUCAGGUACCAUCAAGACAUACCCAUCAGCUUACCUCAUUCAUCUCACAAUCCAGGAACAAUGCCCAACGUGGCUCUUGCAGAAGGGAUAGCCCAAUGGGAGAUGGAGGGGGUAGGGUGGGGUCUAAGAAAUUUAAAUGGAAAGGAGUUAUGAUCGAUAGGUUCAGACCCCUUUCUUCUUCCCCUCCUCCUCUAAUCCAUAGGAACCAACAAUGGAGAAUCGUAUUGGGAGGGGUAUUAUGUUGCCAUAAGAAAUAAGGGAUUUGGAUCAUGGCCCUUGAGUAUGACUGCUAUAAUUUUGGGGAAGGAUGAUAACCUUGGUCACCCCUGCCUGGCCCUUUCUCCCUAGUAUAUGGAUUCAAGUUUUCUUCUAGAGUUCUUCUGACAUCCUGUUUACUAGCCUCUCCCCUACCUGUUAGCUUUGAUUCUUCAGAUAAACUGAACUCUGUACCCCUUUAUAAGGGGGAGCCCUGAAACUGAAUGGUUUGGGGCCAGAUGCAAACUCUCAUGUGCCCUCUGCUAUGGUGGCCCAGGGCGAGUGGUAGUUCCUGGUAGGCAGUGCCCAACAGGUUUGGGCAUGAUAGGGAGCAGCUCUAGCCUCCAAAAGUCUAAGGGAAGAAUGAGGAUGACACAGAAUUCCCCAACUCAGGGUGGGGCCCAGCCCCCCCAGGGCAUACCUGCCCCACCUCUCACCUGCUCCCCUCAUUCCCAUCUUGAUCCCCCUUUUGUCUUCAGGGUCUGGAGUUCCAACAGACUCCCUUGUCAUUUCCUCACUCCUCCUUCCCCCAGUACAUGAAUUUUGCAGCUCAGAGCACAAACAGCAAACUUGGACCCUACUUUGUGCCUGGAUAGCCUCCUCCCAGGUAGCAUCUCCACUGGAGGACACUGUACAGCCUGUCUGCCUUCAUCAUUCCCACCCACAGGUGGCUUCUCUGUCCUACCCCCAGCCCACUUCCAGCCAGUAUUUUGGCCAUCACUAGGUAUCACUAGACUUAGUAUAUUGCCUGUCUCCAGGAAGAAUUGAAUAAAUCAAAGGGGACUCCAGCAGUGCACUCCUUGGCCCCAGGGAUCCCCUUGUCUCUCCUUGAGUGUCAGGUCAGAACUCAGACACCACAUUCUCACACACACACACACACACACACACACACACACACACACACACACACACACACACACCCGCCGGGCCCCAUGGCAACGUUGCACACAGAGACAUCAAACAGGCUGGGGUUUAGGAAGUCAGCUUGGUGGACCUACGUCACUGUGGUUAUCGCCACUCUGAGCAGCAGCAGUGGGCCCAUGGCCCAGUCUGAGCACUCCAGCUUGGCCUGCCUGCCCACCCCCACUGCCUUGACAGCCUUGGUUUUCUCCAUGCCAAGGGGCCCAUGCCUGCCUGUUGUCCCGGUAACCAGUCAUGUUAUGGAUCUACUCUGGGAUCCCCAGCCGCUCCCCACAUCCGGGAAAUGCCUGGGCCUAUGCUUCCCCACCCCUGGGCUUGGAAUCUCAGAGUACAAGGAAAAGGGUCUGGCUCAUGCACUGUUCCCCCCUAAGGGGACUAGAGGCACAGGAUAGGGGCAGAGAGCUCCAAAUUUUUCCUGCCUUACCUUGAGGAUUCUUUGGACUAAUAGCUAUUGUUCUAUCUGCCAGUCCAAACUUUAUUGGGUGGAUUGGGACAGAAUUUGGGCCCCUGAAUCAAAUGUAGUAUGGGAACAAACAGGGGGUACUUAAGUCCCAUGGUGUCCCCAUUUGCUACCAACCCAGCUCUGCCCCUAGUGGAUCUUUGGUGCGAUUCUCAGUGGCCAGGCCCAAAGAAUGCCCUGGAAAGGCCAGUGGCUGGGCGUUAACCAAGGGCAGAGAGUGAGUCAAGAAAAAAUAGGGCUCAGUGCCCCCCACCUCUGUCAUGCAUGCACAUCAUACCACCCAUCCGGCCCGGUGCUGAUUCACCACCCAGAAUACUCAUUGACAGAUAGUUGGGGCCCCCAAAGUUGCCAAGGUACCACCACUGCAAUGGGCUGGGGCCAUCAGAAGGGGGAAGUCAGGCUGCUACCAGAACAUAAUUCCCAAGUUAAGGAAGUUGGGGAAAAUCUGUGAAUAUUCAUAAAACCUCCAGAACUAUUUCUGGUAGCACAUCUGUUGGCCCAACUGCCAUCCUGAGCUGAGCCCAGACUGGAACAUACAGAGUUAACUAGGGGCCCUUCUGGGGUCUUCUACCCCAUCUCCCCCCAGGAUCUCAGCCCCUGUGAUGUCACUAAGAGUUGCCAUAGCAACCACUGGAAGUUCCCAAAUAAAAUUACUGUGUCGGGUUAAGUUUCCUUGGAGCUAGGCAGCAGUAAACAAUGGCAGGCGAGGCUAGUCUGGCCAGGCUGGGGGGCCCAGGAGGGGGCCCUGAUCCAACUUCAGCCCCUUCUUCCAACCAGUGAGGAACUACACUGCUAAGGCAUUGGGCAUUGAUUGACAGAGACAGAGGUGGAAACAGAGACAGAGAAAGAGGACCAUAGGAACAGAGCUGGGGAAGAGACAGGAACAGAUAUUCCCACAUGACCAGCUCUCCAGCCCCUCAACUGUCCUGGCUACCCUCCUCUAGACUCACUCCAGCUUUUCCACGGUGGACAACUGGUAAAUCAGAUUUGGAGGCAGAGGAGCACAGUCCAAAUCCCAGCUUUGAUUCUUACCACAUUUCUAAAGUUGGUCAGUCAUUUUCUUUUUCCCAUUUAUAAAGAAGGGGAUUGGCCUAAAUGAUUUCCUUCUUUCCUUUUUUUAACUUUACCUUCUGUCUUACAAUUGAUCCUGAGUAUAAUUAAGGUAAGGCCAGGGAAUGGGUGUUAAGUGACUUGCCUGGGGUCAUACAGCAAGGAAGUGUCUGAGGUCACAUUUGAACUCAAGACCUCCCAUCUCCCUACCUUCUUCUUUACCCACUGAGCCAUCUAGCUGCUCCUGGACCCGAUAAUUUCUAAUGGCCAAUUCAGCUUCAAAAUCAUGAUCACAUAUUUCUAAAACUGAGAGAGCCAUAAGAAUCCAUCCCAUGGACAUUAAUGCAUUGCUGGUGGAGUUGUGAAUUGAUCCAACCACUCUGGAUGGCAAUUUGAAACUAUGCCCAAAUGGCGCCAAAGGACUACCUGCCCUUCGACCCAGCCAUAGCACUGCUGGAUUUGUACCCCAAAGAGAUAAUAAGGGUAAAAGACUUGUACAAGAAUAUUCAUAGCUGCACUCUUUGUGGUGGCAAAUAAUUGGAAAAUGAGGGGAUGCUUUUCGAUUGGGGAAUGGCUGAACAAAUUGUUGUAUAUGUUGGUGAUGGAAUACUAUUGUGCUAAAAGGAAUAAUGAACUGGAGGAAUUCCAUGUGAACUGGAACAACCUCCAGGAAGUGAUGUAGAGUGAAAGAAGCAGAACCAGGAGAACAUUGUACACAGAGACUGAUACAUUGUGGUACAAUCGAAGGUGAUGGACUUCUCUACCAGCAGCAAUGCAAUGAUCCAGGACAAUUCAGAGGAACUUAUGAGAAAGAUGCUAUCCACAUCCAGAGGAAGAACUGUGGGAGCAGAAACACAGAAGAAAAACAACUGCUUGAUCACAUGGGUUGAUGGGGAUAUGGUUGGGGAUGUAGACUCUAAAUGAUCAUCCUAGUGCAAUUAUCAAUAAUGUGGAAAUAGGUCUUGAUCAAGGACACAUGUAAAAUCCAGUGGGAUUGCUCAUUGACUAUGGGAGGGGGGAGGGAAAGAACAUGAAUCAUGUAACCAUGGAAAAAUAUUCUAAAUUAAUUAAAUAAAAAUUUUCAAUUAAAAAAAAA
Molecule: long non-coding RNA, 5412 nt
Organism: Monodelphis domestica (gray short-tailed opossum)
Lineage: Eukaryota; Metazoa; Chordata; Mammalia; Didelphimorphia; Didelphidae
Source: RefSeq, a predicted model, not a curated record